RNAcentral lists this ribosomal RNA (284 nucleotides) under uncultured bacterium. RNAcentral describes it as "partial 16S ribosomal RNA". It matches the Rfam family "Bacterial small subunit ribosomal RNA", at positions 28 to 310 of the family's 1533-position model. The record is from RNAcentral.
GAUGAACGCUGGCGGCAGGCCUAAUACAUGCAAGCUGAACGGUAAAUGUUGUAGCAAUACAAUAUGAGAGUAGCGUAAGGGUGCGUAACACGUAUGCAAUCUACCCGCAACAGGAGGAUAGCUCCCCGAAAGGGGAAUUAAUACUCCAUAAGAUCACGAGAGGGCAUCUGAUUGUGAUUAAACUCCAAGGGGUUGCGGAUGAGCAUGCGUCUGAUUAGUUAGUUGGUGAGGUAACGGCUCACCAAGACGAUGAUCAGUAGGGGAACUGAGAGGUUGAUCCCCCA